RNAcentral lists this ribosomal RNA (478 nucleotides) under uncultured bacterium. RNAcentral's name for it is "partial 16S ribosomal RNA". It matches the Rfam family "Bacterial small subunit ribosomal RNA", at positions 28 to 523 of the family's 1533-position model. The record is from RNAcentral.
GACGAACGCUGGCGGCGUGCUUAACACAUGCAAGUCGAACGGUAAGGCCCUUCGGGGUACACGAGUGGCGAACGGGAGAGUAACACGUGGGUGAUCUGCCCUGCACUUCGGGAUAAGCCUGGGAAACUGGGUCUAAUACCGGAUAGGACCACUGCCCGCAUGGGUGGUGGUGGAUAGCUUUUGCGGUGUGGGAUGGGCCCGCGGCCUAUCAGGUUGUUGGUGGGGUGAUGGCAUACCAAGGCGACGACGGGUAGCCGACCUGAGAGUGUGACCGGCCACACUGGGACUGAGAUACGGCCCAGACUCCUACGGGAGGCAGCAGUGGGGAAUAUUGCACAAUGGGCGCAAGCCUGAUGCAGCGACGCCGCGUGAGGGAUGACGGCCUUCGGGUUGUAAACCUCUUUCAGCACCGACGAAGCGCAAGUGACGGUAGGUGCAGAAGAAGGACCGGCCAACUACGUGCCAGCCGCCGCCGUAA